This is an unclassified non-coding RNA of Mesocricetus auratus (golden hamster), 322 nucleotides long. Its record names the gene 7SK. It matches the Rfam family "7SK RNA". Rfam says of the family: 7SK was discovered as an abundant small nuclear RNA in the mid-70s but a possible function has only recently been suggested. Two independent studies have found that 7SK RNA binds the CDK9/cyclin T complex (known as elongation factor P-TEFb). The record is from Ensembl. NCBI's taxonomy places the organism in Eukaryota, Metazoa, Chordata, Mammalia, Rodentia, Cricetidae.
GGAUAUGAGGGCGAUCUGGCUGCGACAUCUGUCACCCCAUUGAUCGCCAGGGUUGAUUCGGCUGAUCUGGCUGGCUAGGCGGGUGUCUCCUUCCUCCCUCACCACUCCAUGUGAGUCCCUCCUGAAGUUGUGCACUCGGUCGAAGAGGACGACCUUCCCCGAAUAGAGGAGGACCGGUCUUCGGUCAAGGGUAUACGAGUAGCUGCGCUCCCCUGCUAGAAUCUCCAAACAAGCUCUCAAAUUCAUGGCCUUUUUCUUUGUUAUAUAUUCCUAGACACAUAAAUAUAGCUUUCCCAGGAAUGUUACUUGUAUGUAUGUAUGU